RNAcentral lists this ribosomal RNA (816 nucleotides) under uncultured rumen bacterium. Its description in RNAcentral is "bacterial SSU rRNA". It matches the Rfam family "Bacterial small subunit ribosomal RNA", at positions 43 to 836 of the family's 1533-position model. The record is from RNAcentral.
CGUGGAUUAGGCAUGCAAGUCGAACGGGAUCCGGGAGGUAGCAAUACUUCCUGGUGAGAGUGGCGGAUUGGGGAGGAACACGUGAGCAACCUGCCUUGGAGUCGGGGAAAACCGUUGGAAACGACGGCUAAUACCGGAUGUGGCGCCCGGUGACAUCGCCGGAGCGCUAAAGGGGGCCGCAAGGCUCUCGCUCCUAGAGGGGCUCGCGCACCAUCAGCUUGUUGGCGGGGUAACGGCCCACCAAGGCCUACGGUUAGCUGGUCUGAGAGGAUGACCAGCCCCACUGGGACUGAGAUACUGCCCAGACUCCUACGGGAGGCUGCAGUCGAGGAUCAUUUGCAAUGGGCGAAAGCCUGACAAUGCGACGCUGCGUGGAGGAUGAAGGCCUUCGGGUUGUAAACUCCUGUCAUGGGGGAACAGGCGAGGGGAGUUAAUACCUCCCUUAGUUGAGUGUACCCCAAGAGGAAUUGGCGGCUAACUCUGUGCCAGCAGCCGCGGUAAUACAGAGGCCAAGAGCGUUGUUCGGAUUUACUGGGCGUAAAGGGCGCGUAGGCGGCUUGCUAAGUCGGAUGUGAAAUCUCCGGGCUCAACCCGGAAAGUGCGUCCGAAACUGGCAGGCUGGAGUCCGGGAGGGGGAAUCGGAAUAUAGGGUGUAGCGGUGAAAUGCGUUGAUAUCCUAUAGAACACCGGAGGCGAAGGCGGGAUUCCUUGAACGGUACUGACGCUGAGGCGCGAAAGUCGGGGGAGCAAACAGGAUUAGAUACCCCUGGUAGUCCCGACCCUAAACGGUGCACGCUAGGGGUGGGCCCAUUUCAC